GUUGUAUGGUUAAGUGACUAAGCGUACACGGUGGAUGCCUUGGCAGUCAGAGGCGAUGAAAGGCGUAAUAACUUGCGAUAAGCCCAGAUUAGGUAGUAAUAACCUUUUGAGUCUGGGAUUCCUGAAUGGGGAAACCCACUUGCAUAAGCAAGUAUCCUGUUGUGAAUACAUAGCAACAGGAGGCAAACCGGGGGAACUGAAACAUCUAAGUACCCCGAGGAAGAGAAAUCAACCGAGAUUCCGAAAGUAGCGGCGAGCGAAAUUGGAUUAGCCCUUAAGCUUUUAAUGAGACAGAUGAAGGCUCUGGAAAGUGCCGCAAUAAAGGGUGAUAGCCCCGUAAUCGACAUCUCAUAAUCAGUGAAAACGAGUAGGGCGGGACACGUGAUAUCCUGUCUGAAUAUGGGGGGACCAUCCUCCAAGGCUAAAUACUACUGACUGACCGAUAGUGAACCAGUACCGUGAGGGAAAGGCGAAAAGAACCCCUGUGAGGGGAGUGAAAUAGAACCUGAAACCGUGUACGUACAAGCAGUAGGAGCACCUUCGUGGUGUGACUGCGUACCUUUUGUAUAAUGGGUCAGCGACUUAAUUUUAGUAGCAAGGUUAACCGUUUAGGGGAGCCGUAGGGAAACCGAGUCUUAACUGGGCGUACAGUUGCUAGGAUUAGACCCGAAACCAGGU
RNAcentral lists this ribosomal RNA (678 nucleotides) under Vibrio breoganii. RNAcentral describes it as "bacterial LSU rRNA". It matches the Rfam family "Bacterial large subunit ribosomal RNA", at positions 1 to 726 of the family's 2925-position model. Lineage: Bacteria; Pseudomonadati; Pseudomonadota; Gammaproteobacteria; Vibrionales; Vibrionaceae. The record is from RNAcentral.